This is a long non-coding RNA of Hydra vulgaris (swiftwater hydra), 277 nucleotides long. RefSeq lists it as uncharacterized. The record is from RefSeq and is a predicted model, not a curated record. Lineage: Eukaryota; Metazoa; Cnidaria; Hydrozoa; Anthoathecata; Hydridae.
CUGUGAAUUGGUAAACGUGUAAAGCAAGAUUUUUCAACCUUGCCAGCCAAGUCACUUACUGCAAAGGGUUACAAAGCAGUGUUUCGUGUCAAACUGUUACUGCUUUAGAUUCACUAAAAGCCUACUACUACUACUCUGGUAAAUCACAUCAGCUUUAUCAGAAUUUAGAAAAAUGAAUUAAACUACAACUUUUGAACAGUCAUUGUUUGUGAAGGUUAAAUUAUUUGCAUGUUUUUUAUACAAUUUUUUUAUAGAAAUAAUAUUAAAGUUUACUAAA